CAGCCGCCACGGUAAUACGAAGGGUGCAAGCGUUACUCGGAAUUACUGGGCGUAAAGCGUGCGUAGGUGGUGGUUUAAGUCCGUUGUGAAAGCCCUGGGCUCAACCUGGGAAUUGCAGUGGAUACUGGAUCACUAGAGUGUGGUAGAGGAUAGUGGAAUUUCCGGCGUAGCAGUGAAAUGCGUAGAGAUCGGAAGGAACAUCUGUGGCGAAGGCGACUAUCUGGGCCAACACUGACACUGAGGCACGAAAGCGUGGGGAGCAAACAGGAUUAGAUACCCCAGUAGUCCCUGUCUCUUAUAA
This 301-nucleotide ribosomal RNA is filed under the name uncultured bacterium. RNAcentral's name for it is "partial 16S ribosomal RNA". It matches the Rfam family "Bacterial small subunit ribosomal RNA", at positions 509 to 809 of the family's 1533-position model. The record is from RNAcentral.